This 497-nucleotide ribosomal RNA is filed under the name uncultured bacterium. Its description in RNAcentral is "partial 16S ribosomal RNA". It matches the Rfam family "Bacterial small subunit ribosomal RNA", at positions 28 to 507 of the family's 1533-position model. The record is from RNAcentral.
GAUGAACGCUGGCGGCGUGCCUAAUACAUGCAAGUCGAGCGAACGGACGAGAAGCUUGCUUUUCUGAUGUUAGCGGCGGACGGGUGAGUAACACGUGGAUAACCUACCUAUAAGACUGGGAUAACUUCGGGAAACCGGAGCUAAUACCGGAUAAUAUUUUGAACCGCAUGGUUCAAAAGUGAAAGACGGUCUUGCUGUCACUUAUAGAUGGAUCCGCGCUGCAUUAGCUAGUUGGUAAGGUAACGGCUUACCAAGGCAACGAUGCAUAGCCGACCUGAGAGGGUGAUCGGCCACACUGGAACUGAGACACGGUCCAGACUCCUACGGGAGGCAGCAGUAGGGAAUCUUCCGCAAUGGGCGAAAGCCUGACGGAGCAACGCCGCGUGAGUGAUGAUGGUCUUCGGAUCGUAAAACUCUGUUAUUAGGGAAGAACAUAUGUGUAAGUAACUGUGCACAUCUUGACGGUACCUAAUCAGAAAGCCACGGCUAACUACGUG